CGAUUCGUGGGUUUGCUGGGCGAACUUGCGAUAGAGAACGGUUGGAUCUGAGGCACGGGACAGCGGGGAGGCACCGGGGCUAUGGUCUGCUAGGCGUUGUGGUUCUAGUGUUCGCUCAGCCGCAGCUGGAGAGUUUGGAACGUUGUUUAUAGUCAAAAUGGCAACACCAGGCCAAUCAAUCCAUCCGUAUGUGGAAUGUCAGAGAGCCUACUGGUCAGCUUAUAUGGUGUUUUGCUAUUUAAGCUUAUGAAGCAAGGUAUGUUCCUCUCUAUUGUGUUUUCAUCAUACAAAUUAGGAAAAACAUAGUUUCUUCACAUUGUGAAGUGAAGUGUAAUAUGUAGAACUCUGGUCUAUUAAGUAUAUCUGAGCUGAAUAUCCAGCCUUUUGACGAA
This is a long non-coding RNA of Triticum dicoccoides, 392 nucleotides long. RefSeq lists it as uncharacterized. NCBI's taxonomy places the organism in Eukaryota, Viridiplantae, Streptophyta, Magnoliopsida, Poales, Poaceae. The transcript has 2 exons. The record is from RefSeq and is a predicted model, not a curated record.